This 490-nucleotide long non-coding RNA is filed under the name Bos taurus (domestic cattle). RNAcentral describes it as "long non-coding RNA NONBTAT023753". The record is from RNAcentral. Lineage: Eukaryota; Metazoa; Chordata; Mammalia; Artiodactyla; Bovidae.
GUAGGAUGCCUUUAUUCCAAAGACCUCAAAGCACUCCACGACACGAUCAAAUCCAUUCCUGCGUCUCUGUGAGUAAAAAGUAAGUGUUUGUGAUUACCAAUUGAUAUUUUUUCCUGCUGGGGCGCAUCACAUAGCUGGCCAACCAAGUUCAGGAGGCAGUUUUCUCUAUCUCUCACUUCUCUCAACUGCACUCUUCACCAUCAUAGGUUGUCUGGUUGCAUAAUGUAUGUGAAAUUUGAUGAGAUAUCAAACCAGAGUUCUGAUAAGGAAUUGUUUUUGUCUGCUUUUCUGCCAGUCCUAGUUUUCCCUCAAUAAGCAUCUGUAUUGUUCCUGGUAUCAUAGCAGCAAGAUAAGCAAGCAGAUCUAUUAGAUGGGAGGAAAUCAGGGAGAAGAUAUUAGAUCCAGGCUUUCAUGCUUAGCUUGAAAUCUCUGCAGUUCUGUCACUGUUGUGAACAUAAAAGACUCUCUGAAGUGGUAUUUAGAAACUGCC